UACAGAGGUCCCAAGCGUUGUUCGGAUUCACUGGGCGUAAAGGGUGCGUAGGCGGGUCUUUAAGUCAGGGGGGAAAUCCUGGAGCUCAACUCCAGAACUGCCUUUGAUACUGAAGAUCUUGAGUUCGGGAGAGGUGAGUGGAACUGCGAGUGUAGAGGUGAAAUUCGUAGAUAUUCGCAAGAACACCAGUGGCGAAGGCGGCUCACUGGCCCGAUACUGACGCUGAGGCACGAAAGCGUGGGGAGCAAACAGG
Molecule: ribosomal RNA, 253 nt
Filed under: uncultured bacterium
Lineage: Bacteria
Description: partial 16S ribosomal RNA
Rfam family: Bacterial small subunit ribosomal RNA
Source: RNAcentral